This 262-nucleotide ribosomal RNA is filed under the name uncultured bacterium. RNAcentral's name for it is "partial 16S ribosomal RNA". It matches the Rfam family "Bacterial small subunit ribosomal RNA", at positions 91 to 354 of the family's 1533-position model. The record is from RNAcentral.
CGNCCGGGCGGACGGGUGCGUAACGCGUAUGUAACCUACCUUUGACAGGGGGAUAACAUCGAGAAAUUGGUACUAAUACCCCAUAACAUCACCGGAGGCAUCUUCGGUGGUUGAAAACUCAGGUGGUCAGAGAUGGACAUGCGUUGUAUUAGCUAGUUGGUGAGGUAACGGCUCACCAAGGCGACGAUACAUAGGGGGACUGAGAGGUCAACCCCCCACAUUGGUACUGAGACACGGACCAAACUCCUACGGGAGGCAGCAG